GACAAGAAAUAACAAUACAAGGCAGUUAAAAUGCUUUGUAAUUGGAAUGAUAGAAAUUUAAACACUUUUUAAAGUAUCAAUUGGAGGGCAAGUCUGGUGCCAGCAGCCGCGGUAAUUCCAGCUCCAAUAGCGUAUAUUAAAAUUGUUGCAGUUAAAAAGCUCGUAGUUGAAUUUCUGUUAAAAAUAACCGGUCUGCUUUUAAUAAAAGUGGUAUCUUGGUGUGUUUUUAGCAAUAAUGUCCUUUGAAAUGUUUUUUACUUUAUUGUAAUAAAUAAUAUUCAGGAUUUUUACUUUGAGAAAAUUAGAGUGUUUCUAGCAGGCUAACGCUUUGAAUACUGCAGCAUGGAAUAAUAAAAUAGGAUUUUAGUUCUACAUUAUUGGUUUUAAGAACUAAAUUAAUGAUUGAUAGGGACAGUUGGGGGCAUUUGUAUUUAACUGUCAGAGGUGAAAUUCUUAGAUUUGUUAAAGACAAACUACUGCGAAAGCAUUUGCCAAAGAUGUUUUCAUUAAUCAAGAACGAAAGUUAGGGGAUCGAAGACGAUCAGAUACCGUCGUAGUCUUAACUAUAAACUAUGCCGACUAGAGAU
Molecule: ribosomal RNA, 587 nt
Filed under: Hepatozoon felis
Lineage: Eukaryota; Apicomplexa; Hepatozoidae
Description: SSU rRNA
Rfam family: Eukaryotic small subunit ribosomal RNA
Source: RNAcentral